CAGCAGUCGCCACGGUAAUACGUAGGGUGCAAGCGUUAAUCGGAAUUACUGGGCGUAAAGCGUGCGCAGGCGGUUUGUUAAGACAGAUGUGAAAUCCCCGGGCUCAACCUGGGAACUGCAUUUGUGACUGGCAAGCUAGAGUGUGGCAGAGGGGGGUGGAAUUCCGCGUGUAGCAGUGAAAUGCGUAGAUAUGCGGAGGAACACCGAUGGCGAAGGCAGCCCCCUGGGCCAACACUGACGCUCAUGCACGAAAGCGUGGGGAGCAAACAGGAUUAGAGACCCCCGUAGUCCCUGUCUCUUAUAC
Molecule: ribosomal RNA, 304 nt
Filed under: uncultured bacterium
Lineage: Bacteria
Description: partial 16S ribosomal RNA
Rfam family: Bacterial small subunit ribosomal RNA
Source: RNAcentral